This is a long non-coding RNA of Drosophila montana, 683 nucleotides long. RefSeq lists it as uncharacterized. The record is from RefSeq and is a predicted model, not a curated record. NCBI's taxonomy places the organism in Eukaryota, Metazoa, Arthropoda, Insecta, Diptera, Drosophilidae. The transcript is spliced from 2 exons.
AGAGAAAUGCCAAGUAGAUAUAUAUAUAUAUACACAAGACUCUGAAGCAUACGUGCAUAUAGGUUAUAUAUAUAAAUAUUUAUAGCUGUGACUAUGUAAACAUUUGCGCGCUAUAGUCCGUAUAGCGGGUGUAGUCCACAUGAGUCACUACCCCCAACAAAAAGAAAAAGAACGAAGUGAACAACGAAAUUUAUGUCAGCAGUGCCAAAAGCGACGAGCGAAUGAAGGCAAUAAAAACAAGCGGCAAAUAAAUAAAUAAGAAAUUCUAAAUAAGAAAGAGGAAAACAUGAAAAAUAACAAAAAACCGAACAAAGUACUCAGAUAUUCAUGCAAUAUGUGCGAGUGUGUGUCUGUGUGUGCGAGUGUGUAAGUGUGGGGGCAUGUCCGUGGGGGCACAAGCACAUUAUACAUAUUUAUGCAAUUCAAAUGGGAGCCCAACAGGUUGCAACAGAAAUGAUUCAAAAAUAUCCCCAUAUGGCAAUUGAAAUUUCGUUUUCAGCACAAGCAAACUUUUUGUAACCAAUAAAAAACAAGAAAGAACAGUUAUUAGCUGUACCGAAGAGAAUCGUAAAUUUUGGAUACUCUACUUUAUACUAUGGUCAUGUACAGAAAACCAGAAUCUGGUAAUGAGUAACAAUUUCGACUAAAAUUGUUAAUAAUAAAACAAAAACAUUUAUGACUUA